RNAcentral lists this long non-coding RNA (5415 nucleotides) under Sus scrofa (pig). Its description in RNAcentral is "lncRNA (ENSSSCG00005025981.1)". Lineage: Eukaryota; Metazoa; Chordata; Mammalia; Artiodactyla; Suidae. The record is from RNAcentral.
CUGAACCCAAGCCACAGCUGCAGCAAGGCCGGAUCCUUUAACCCACUGCACUAGGCUGGGGAUCGAACAGCUGCAGAACGGUUCUUAACCCACUGUGCCAUCGCGGGAACUCCCUUGGUGACUCUUCUACUCUAAAUUUUGGGUAUUUUGGUCCUUAACCCACCAGCCCAGUUAUGGGUACGGUCAUGCUUGGGGUCUAAAAUAGUGAGGAUGAAGACAGAAGGACAAGUGUAGCAUGCAUGUGACUCAUGUCACCCCAUGGUGGGUGACUUGGAUAUCGUUGAAGGCAGAGAUGAGUGAAGGACCAAGUUACCAGCCACAGUGACUCUAGAGAUUACAAAGGAAAAUCCCUAUGACAGUUCCCAAGGCCAUCCUUGAUAGACUGUGAUAGAAGAAGAAAUUUCCCAAUCCAGACUCUCUGUGGCUGAAGCGCCAGCCACCUCCAGCACUUACGUCAUAAUAGUCAUCUGUUGCCACAGCCAUGCUGUGUAACGAACAACAGGAAAACCUCAAUGGUGCCCAAUACCUCUGGAGUUUUGCUCAUGAGACCGUGGGUUGGCGGGUUGCUUCUGCUGACCUGACCUGGGCUGGGGGAGGCGCCCCUAUGAGUCAGCAGCAGUUGUAGGCAGGCUAAAUGACAUUACUGAUCUUAGGUGGGUGUUUCCAUACCUUGGCCAGCAGCUCAGGGACCAUUCAGCUUGUUGCAAGUGAAUCCAGCACGGCCGGAUUCUGCGAGUGAGUGGAAGCAGGCGAAGCCUCUUAAAACUGGUGGCUUGUACGGUGCCACCGCUGCCACACUGUUGGCCAACUCGGUCACAGGAAGAGCCCCUAUUCAAGGAAGUGGGGACAUAGACCCCACCUUUUGACAAGAGAAGUUAUUGCGUCACAUUCCAAAGGAGGUGGAUGCAGGAAGGAAUAUCAACUGGUGCUAUUUAUGCAAGCAAUCCACCACAUCCAUCACUUAAACAAUUUUUUUUUUUUGCUUUUUUUCUUAGGACCACACCUGCGGCACGUGGAAGUUCCCAGGCUAGGGGUUGAAUCAGAGCGGCAGCUGCCAGCCUUCACCACAGCUCCUGACAAUGCUGGAUCCUUAACCCACUGAGCGAGGCCAGGGAUCAAACCUGCAUCCUCACGGAUACAAGAUGGGUUCAUUACUUCUGAGCCAUGAUGGAACUCCCUCCAUCACUUAAACUUUAUCUGUUUCAGUAUCGCAUAGCUGGCCCCAGAUGUGAAGGUUCUCACAUGGGUCCUGGGCAUCAGGAGGGUUUGUGUACAUGCGCGUGAGAAGGUGAGGCCUUAUAUGUCAGCCGUUUGCUCCGAGGAUCUUAGGCUUUACCAGUCAUGGCCUGGUGUCAUCAAGGGGGAUGUGCAAAAGCACUCAGGAAAUUAUCCACAAUAUUCAGGAAACUUCCAGAAGGAGGCAACGCAGUUAUCUUGCAGAUCCUGUUUCUAUGCUGCCCUGAAAUCCUAGUCGGGUUCUGGUUGCCAAGGAGAUGCUAUUGUUUCAAAGUGGGACACAGCCAUCCCUGGGCUAAAGACCCGUUGAAAAUGGCUCUCAUCUCCUUUUCCAAAUGAAUGAAUACAAGCACUUUAGCCUGACCUUUCAGACCCUGCCCAAUCUGACCAAAUGACAGGUUCCAAAUCCCCCCUCUCAUGUAGGUCCCGUGCAUAGGUACUGGAUGUUGCCGUGGGCUUCUGCUUCUUGCUAUUCCUCCAUCUCUGCAAAUGCAAAUCGCAGCAGUUCUGCAAGUGCCUGUUUCAAGAUGAGCUGUUUUAAAAACCACCACCGUUAACAGCAAACACAAAUGCAUGGCUCUUCUCUUUAUCUGGCAUCCAGAAAAAGAAGAGUGUUGAAAGCCAGACCAAUCUGAGAACAAUUCUACCUUAGACAAGUCUCCUAAUUUUGCUCGGCCUCUAUUUUUAACUCUCUAAAAUGGGGCUAAUAACCCACUUGCAGGAUGAUAUAAUAAAAUAAUGGUUUUCAAGUUCCUAGCGUUUAGGUAGGAUGCAUGGUAACUGGAUAAAGAUGACUGUUUUUUGACCCCACGUUCCAAGCUAUGCCCUUAUGCUUUCCUCUGUUGUCUGAUGUUACCUCUCUUCCCUCGUCUUGCCCACACGUCCCCCUUCUUACCCAGAAAGGCUAAGUCUUGUUUCUUAUUACUGUAAUCCGCAUUUCUGGAUGAGAAAAUGGAGAAACCACAACAAGAUCAGGUAACUUGGUUCAAGGCCAGAUAGUUUGCCCUGGUGGAGCUGAGCUUUGAUUUAUUCUAGGACCUGCGUUCUAACCCCCGGUAUGCUCCUGCCUUAUCCUGGUGUGGGCUUUCAGGAAGUACAGCCCAAGAUCAAGGUUUAUUGAAGAUCAAGGGGCACGAGUGGAGGGCAGAGAAGUGAAAGAGGAAAGAGGNNNNNNNNNNNNNNNNNNNNNNNNNNNNNNNNNNNNNNNAGUCUCUGAAUCCUGGGUGAAGGAAAAAAAGAAACACUCACCCUUUGUCUCCAGGGUCACGGCUCAGGGGUUAACUGUUAAGCGCCUGCCCUGCUGGUUGUGCAUGAUUAGCCUCAAGGCAGGUCCCUCUGGCACCCUGCCACAAGCACUUGGAGCAGCCCGGGGGCAGGAAGCCAGACCUAACAGGCACUUUCCCACUGUCCCUGGGCAAACCUGGCCCCAGCCUGCGUGGAGCUGGUGGCCGCAGCACAGGACAGGAAGGAGUUAGGGAGGGGGCACAGUGAUGGUGACGUGGCAGGUGUGUGUGGAGUUGUUGGCACUGACACCAUAGCAAACAAAGGAGACAGUGGGUGGUGAAAGUACUGUCACCAGGGGAGUUUUCCUAAAUUUCAUCUUCAUGUGAGGAGAAAGGAUUCGGUUAUGUUUAUUUUCGAAGCAGGCCAGUCAGCGCAAGAGGGAGUAUUAAGAAUUCUUGUCUCAAAUUCCUUUUAAAGAGUUCAAUGGGAUGAAGUUUUUUAAAAAGGGAUUUUAUGCAAAGGUGUGGGCUCACCUGUGUUUUGAAACAUGUUAAGUAUGUGAGAUUAUGGAAGAAGGGAUUUUUUUCUGAGACUUUCUUCUCAAUUCACGGUGAGAAAAUUACAUGCCUUUAGAAACUAGGACUUUAAAUUGUAGGUAACUUCCAUCAUAUAGCAUGGUCCUAAAAAUAAAAAAGUAGCACAGUUUUAAGCUUUCCUGAGUCUUUUUUAGGCUCGGGUUUAUUGUUCUCUUGGGAGAGACUGUUGGCCUUUCAGUUGACAGGUCCUGCUUUUAUAUAUUGGUCUGGGAACCUCCCUCUCACGGAUGAUCUUUUAAAUCAAAGGACACAUUCAGGACUGGAAGAAAAAAAAAUCUAUUUUUCUUUUUCUUUUUAUGGCCACACCUGCAGCAUAUGGGAGUUCCCAGGCUAAGGGUCAAAUUGGAGCUGGAGCUGCAGCUGGGCCUAUGCCACAGCCACAGGCACAGCAGUGCUGGAUCUGAGCCGCAUCUGUGACCUACCCUGCAGCUCGUGACAAUGCCGAAUCCUUUAAGAUAUCUAACCUCAUGGAGCUCCCUUUUGAUGCAGUAGGUUAAGGAUCUGGCAUUGUCACUGCAGUGGCUCGGGUUCCAUCCCUGGCCCAGAAACUUCCUCAUGCUAGGGGUAUGGCCAAAAAGAAAGGAAAAAAAAAAAAAAAAGGUGGCAUCAGAAAGACAGAGCUCAAAUUCCUACCCCGCCGAUUCAAGGGGCCAACUCUUAGGGAAACUCUCAAGACUCGAUUUCCUCCUCUGUAAAAUGAUAUCAGUUCUUUAGGAAGUUAUUGUGAGGGUUAAAGAGGUCAUAUAUGUGGAAAGACCAAAUACACACAACAACAUGGAGUUUCAUUUUACUUUUAGAAAUGGCUCAGGGAGUUCCCGUUGUGGCUCGGGAGUUAAGAACCCAACAUUGUCUGUGAAGAUUCAGAUUCGAUCCCUGGCCUUGCUCAGUGGGUCAAGGGCCAGCAUUGCCACAAGCUUUGGCAUAGGUCACAGAUGCAGCUCGGAUCUGGUGUUGCUGUGGUUGUGGCAUUGGCCCGCAGCUGCAGCUCCGAUUCAAGCCCUGGCAUGGGGACUUCCAUAUGCAAUAGGUGUGGCCCAAAAGAGAGAGAGAGAGAAAAAAAAAAAAAGGCUCAGAAUUAUGAGUAAACUCCUAGGGAAUUAGUAUUAAAUUCCUAGUGUCAAAACGCUGGAUUUUGAAUUGGGGGAGAACUUGCGGAAAGGCUGGGCUGCAAGCUGAGUUCAGUCAGAUGUGCCCUGUAGUUUAUUUCCCCCAGUGGUUGCAUAUCGUUGAAAAAGACACUCUUAUCAGCAAGAAGCUGAUUUUUGCUGUCUCCCCUUACAGCUGGACAAAUGUCACACAGGGAGAGUUCUUGCCUUGGAUAUGAAUUUUUCUGUAAUCAGCAAAUUAAGAGAAAUGAAAAUUUAGGGCUCUCCUUGGAAUCCCCUGCACAAAAGACUUUACACAUCCUCUAUAGCUUUCCAAAGGACAGAUUUCUAUUUCUUCUUGGGAAUCUGAUCAUCACCUCUCAUUACACUCGGAUCAUCUCCCCCUUCCCCACAAGCCUCCUUCUUACCUCUUUAUUUCAAUCAGCAACAACAUUGUUCUCGGGCUUUCUCAUUAAUGCACUCACACUCAUCAUUGCGCUGCAUAUGGUAAGUCCAUUAGCACCCUUCACCUCCUCUCAAACCAUCAUCUCAAGAAGGCAUUAUCCCUCUCAGACCGUGGUAUGGAAAUAGAGGUUCACUGAGAUUCAAUGACUUCCCAGGUCCCAAAGCUAGUAGAAAAAGCAGCAGCUUUGCACUCGAGCUCUGGCGCCAGGUUCAAUGGCCCUUUCCCCAUUCUACGUGACUAUUUUUGGUUAAUAAGAAAUGAUAGUGAAAUUAACGUGCCUAUUGUUGGGAUCACAAUUGACAUUUUCAAAGGUAACAAUAACGUUGUCUUUUGCCCAACUUAACACUAUUGGAGUAUUGUAUUAAUGAAAUAUCAAGCGAGUGUAAGAAAUGACACAGGAAAAUCAUGGCUCAGGAAUAAGUCAGGGGCAAAAAUGACGCUGACAACGCCGAUGUCUUUCAGAAUUCAUGUCCAGUAAUGAAGCAGAAACAAACCUAGGCAAGAAUGCUACUCCAAUAUUCAUAUAAACAUAGAUAUAAAAGAAAAUAAUCAAGGUUCAGUUUUGCCAAUUUUAUUGAACCAAUAAAAUUCCUACUAAUAACAAUGAAAUAAAUUUCUGCAAGUAUAAAUGUGAUACAGUUUAACAAAACCCAUUGUUCUGUACCUAUAAAUAGAUUUUCAAAAUGUCAUAAAAAGUGCAGUUAUGAAUUGUUAACAUGUUAAUACACAGUUCCUUUAUUUCAAAUGUGUUUGCCUUGACUCGCUAACAGUUCCUUCUGCAUCUGUUCAAAUAAUAUUACCCAUCCCU